This 774-nucleotide ribosomal RNA is filed under the name uncultured bacterium. RNAcentral's name for it is "bacterial SSU rRNA". It matches the Rfam family "Bacterial small subunit ribosomal RNA", at positions 8 to 796 of the family's 1533-position model. The record is from RNAcentral.
AGAGUUUGAUCAUGGCUCAGAACGAACGCUGGCGGCAUGCCUAACACAUGCAAGUCGAGCGGUAAGGCCCUUUCGGGGGUACACGAGCGGCGAACGGGUGAGUAACACGUGGGUGACCUGCCCUCAGCUCUGGGAUAAGCCCGGGAAACUGGGUCUAAUACCGGAUAUGACUCCACGGUGCAUGUCGUGGGGUGGAAAGCCUUGUGCGGCUGAGGAUGGGCCCGCGGCCUAUCAGCUUGUUGGUGGGGUGAUGGCCUACCAAGGCGACGACGGGUAGCCGGCCUGAGAGGGCGACCGGCCACACUGGGACUGAGACACGGCCCAGACUCCUACGGGAGGCAGCAGUGGGGAAUCUUGCGCAAUGGGCGAAAGCCUGACGCAGCGACGCCGCGUGAGGGAUGACGGCCUUCGGGUUGUAAACCUCUUUCAGCUCCGACGAAGCGGAAGUGACGGUAGGAGCAGAAGAAGCACCGGCCAACUACGUGCCAGCAGCCGCGGUAAUACGUAGGGUGCAAGCGUUGUCCGGAAUUAUUGGGCGUAAAGAGCUCGUAGGCGGUCUGUCGCGUCGGCUGUGAAAACUCGGGGCUCAACUCCGAGCUUGCAGUCGAUACGGGCAGGCUAGAGUUCGGCAGGGGAGACUGGAAUUCCUGGUGUAGCGGUGAAAUGCGCAGAUAUCAGGAGGAACACCGGUGGCGAAGGCGGGUCUCUGGGCCGAUACUGACGCUGAGGAGCGAAAGCGUGGGGAGCGAACAGGAUUAGAUACCCUAGUAGUCC